UGAAUACAUAAAGGCCAUGAUAGUUUAACUUUUACAACUCUCAUUAUUCUACCUCCAAGCUUAUUUAUCCCUUGUUUGCUCCUUCCUUACUUCAGGGGUCAAUAAUUUUUAAUGAGAUAACUGAAAGGAACAGUUUUGGGGGUUUGGAGAAAGGUAAAAUCAUAAUCACCAGGAAUUCAUUGCAGAACUCCACGUAAUUACUGUGAAGAGACUGAAGUUUUCAGGCCCCACUUGAAUUACCAGGGUCCCUUUAGAGUGAAAAAUGUAUGAAUCUCUUCCCUGGAGUUGUAGAGGACUUGGAUAUACAUUCUAGAAUAUGAAGAUUGAUUGAAAUUCUUAGAAGCAGAAAGUGGAAGAGAGAGACAAAGUGAGAAGAAAAAUAGCUGCAUGUUUCUAUUUUAUGCAGGGCCAGGCUUGGGCUAUUAUGAAUGUUGCUGAACACUGUUAAUCAAGCUUACACAGCUAUUUUGAUGGCAAACAAUUAGAACUCUGCAGCUCUACCUUGCAAUUAGCUUCAGGGAUACGGACCUGCACACCCUAAUAAUGAAAGAGACCUCCUUCAAGCACGUACUCCCUUGGAUUAUUCACUCUGGAGAAAAUCAGCUUCCACAUCAUGAGUGCUGUGAAGAGGCUCACAUGAGUGAACUUGGAAGAAGAUCCCCUGAGGCCUGGCAACAACCAAAUAAGCUUGGAAGUGUGCUCUUCAGCCCUGCUUGAGCCUUGACAGGAUAGCUGCAUGGACCAACUCACAAUUUGACCACAGCCUUAUGGGACAAAUGGAGCCAAUGACACCCAGCUAAGCCAUACCUAGAUUCCUGAUGCACAGAAACUGUAAAAUGAUAAGUGUUUGCUGUUUUAAGCUGCUAAUUUUGGGUAAAAUUUGUUAUAUGCAAUAGAUGACUAGUAGAAGGAUUAAAUGAGAUAAUUCACGUAAAGAACUUAGCAUGCACCCAAACAAUGGUAACUGUUAAUUGAACUGCUAAUAGUAUGGACCACACUUGCCUUUCCCUUUUCUCAAUUUUCAUAAAUAGAUUAAUCUAUAAUAAUCCUACAGCUA
This 1057-nucleotide long non-coding RNA is filed under the name Homo sapiens (human). RNAcentral's name for it is "HSALNT0347818". The record is from RNAcentral. Lineage: Eukaryota; Metazoa; Chordata; Mammalia; Primates; Hominidae.